Pan troglodytes (chimpanzee) is the source of this 3391-nucleotide RNA transcript. It is a transcript of the gene named vacuolar protein sorting 45 homolog, with no coding region annotated. NCBI's taxonomy places the organism in Eukaryota, Metazoa, Chordata, Mammalia, Primates, Hominidae. The transcript is spliced from 16 exons. The record is from RefSeq and is a predicted model, not a curated record.
UUUCAAAGGACCCAGUCACCUCGGCUCUUGCCUGAGUUUCAGAGUCCCGCCGGAGUUAGAGCUGGCAGAGUCCAAUUGCUCAGAGCGCCGAGGCGGGGGCGGGUCAGGGGGACGCUUGCAGGUCCGGUGGUCCCGCGGGCUGCGAGCCCCCACGGCCGACCCUAGCUGCAGACCCUCCUGGAGAACCUCAGGCCUUUCCCCUAGAAACAUCCCUAAAAGGCGUUCCCUUUGUUCAUUCAUUCAACAAAUAUUUGUUCAAUCUCAUAUGCCCCUCUGUCUUGGGAAAACCAAUUAGGGCCUCUGCAGCCUCAAUACAGGGGCACUGUUCCCGCCUAUUAAUGACGCAAUGAACCCGGGAAGACGAAUCUCGACCACUGUUUCGCAAAUACCGCGUGUGAUUUAUUAAAUGCCGUCUCUCCGAGUCCCAAGCGGCCGGGAGCAUUAUGCCACCUCCCGUGCCCUCAUCUCUCACUGCCAUGCAAGAAAGCGUUAAUGGCAAAUAGGGCACGUAGCCACACUCCGUCGUUCCUGCUUCCAAGCAAACCUUGUGCCAGGUUCCUCAUUUCGCGAGGCUCCACUCUCUUGGGCUUCAGGCUGCCGCUGGGCCUCCAGCACCAAAGUGCAAUAGGGGUCUGAGAGUCCGGGCCUCAGGCAUCUUCAGGCCGCAGGUGGGUGGAGAAUAGCGCCCGCGCGUGGCAGCGGCCCAGGCCGUCUCAGCCGGAUUUUUCCAUCCCCGGGGUAGGCUUGGUCCCCUGUACACUCCAGCGGAACUACAACUCCCAGCACCGUGGCUGCCCGGACUCCCGGAAGCCGAAUCCCGGCUGGGAGGAAGCAGCUGAGACCCGGCCAACAGACUGGGGGUUAAUUUAGCCAGAAAAGGGGGCGGGAAGGGCUGUAGGGUACUUGUCAAUUCGCCGCCAUGAACGUGGUUUUUGCUGUGAAGCAGUACAUUUCCAAAAUGAUAGAGGACAGCGGGCCUGGUAUGAAAGUACUUCUCAUGGAUAAAGAAACGACUGGCAUAGUGAGUAUGGUAUACACACAAUCGGAGAUUCUACAGAAGGAAGUGUACCUCUUUGAACGCAUUGAUUCUCAAAAUCGAGAGAUCAUGAAACACCUGAAGGCAAUUUGUUUUCUUCGACCUACAAAGGAGAAUGUGGAUUAUAUGAUUCAGGAGCUCCGAAGACCCAAAUACACUAUAUAUUUCAUUUAUUUCAGUAAUGUGAUCAGCAAGAGUGACGUGAAGUCAUUGGCUGAAGCUGAUGAACAGGAAGUUGUGGCUGAGGUUCAGGAAUUUUAUGGUGAUUACAUUGCUGUGAACCCACAUUUGUUUUCCCUCAAUAUUUUGGGUUGCUGCCAGGGUCGAAAUUGGGAUCCAGCCCAGCUAUCUAGAACAACUCAAGGGCUUACAGCUCUCCUUUUAUCUCUGAAGAAGUGUCCCAUGAUUCGUUAUCAGCUCUCAUCAGAGGCAGCAAAGAGACUUGCAGAGUGCGUUAAGCAAGUGAUAACUAAAGAAUAUGAACUGUUUGAAUUCCGUCGGACAGAGGUUCCUCCAUUGCUCCUUAUUUUAGAUCGCUGUGAUGAUGCCAUCACCCCAUUGCUAAACCAGUGGACAUAUCAGGCCAUGGUCCACGAACUACUAGGCAUAAACAACAAUCGGAUUGAUCUUUCCAGAGUGCCGGGAAUCAGUAAAGACUUAAGAGAAGUGGUCCUAUCUGCUGAAAAUGAUGAAUUCUAUGCUAAUAAUAUGUACCUGAACUUUGCUGAGAUUGGUAGCAAUAUAAAGAAUCUCAUGGAAGAUUUUCAGAAGAAGAAACCAAAAGAACAGCAAAAACUAGAAUCAAUAGCAGACAUGAAGGCGUUUGUUGAGAAUUAUCCACAGUUCAAGAAAAUGUCUGGGACUGUUUCAAAGCAUGUGACAGUGGUUGGAGAACUGUCUCGAUUGGUCAGUGAGCGGAAUCUGCUGGAGGUUUCAGAGGUUGAGCAAGAACUGGCCUGUCAAAAUGACCAUUCUAGUGCUCUCCAGAAUAUAAAAAGACUUCUGCAGAACCCCAAAGUGACAGAGUUUGAUGCUGCCCGCCUGGUGAUGCUUUAUGCUUUACAUUAUGAGCGACACAGCAGCAAUAGCCUGCCAGGACUAAUGAUGGACCUCAGGAAUAAAGGUGUUUCUGAGAAGUAUCGAAAGCUCGUGUCUGCAGUUGUUGAAUAUGGUGGUAAACGAGUCAGAGGAAGUGACCUCUUCAGCCCCAAAGAUGCUGUGGCUAUCACCAAACAAUUCCUCAAAGGACUGAAGGGAGUAGAAAAUGUAUAUACACAGCAUCAACCUUUCCUACAUGAAACCCUGGAUCAUCUCAUCAAAGGAAGGCUUAAGGAAAACCUAUAUCCUUAUUUAGGCCCCAGCACACUCAGAGACAGAAUUGCCUCUUGUCUCUGAUAAAGGCAAGCAACUUUUUCAUUUGGUGAGGAAAUGGAGCUAUAUGAUCAUGCAUUCCAGAAUCAGUCAAUUCAAAAAGGAAGUACUUUUCAUGUUUAUACAAAUGUAGUAGAAUCUUGUUGCUACAGCUUAUUUUUUGUUUCUGUGAAGCAGCAGUCCUUUUUCAUUGGCCUUUUUUCCUGCAGUAAAUGCUCAUAAGAACUGUACCAUUUACCUCAGGAUAUCAUUGUGUUUGUAAUUGGAGGAGCCACCUAUGAAGAGGCUCUAACAGUUUAUAACCUGAACCGCACCACUCCUGGAGUGAGGAUUGUCCUGGGAGGCACCACAGUGCACAACACGAAAAGUUUCCUAGAGGAAGUUCUGGCUUCUGGACUGCACAGCCGAAGCAAGGAGAGCUCUCAAGUCACAUCAAGGUCAGCGAGCAGAAGAUGAAACGGUGGUUGGGGGAAGGGCACAGCUUCCUCUCUUGUCCCCACUACAGGCUUUCCCUACUAAACAAAGGUGUUGGAGAGCAGCUUUGGGUUCUGUGCUGGUUGUUAGAACUCAUCUCCAGGUAGCCCACGGAUACGUGGUUGGCACAGACACAAGACUCCCAGAGUUGUCCUAACAAUAAGUCUGAGCCCAUCUCAACCCACUUUUCUCCGGUAGUCUUUAUGUAUCUAUUAGCACAAUCACUUCAGUUACUGAUGAAUUUUGUUGGGAUCUGACUUGGGGAAAGGGUUAUCAGAGCCUAGAGGGGCUUAAAAAGUAAUCAUUUGAUGUACAUACCACAUUCCUUGGCUUCCUUUCUCUUCCCUUAACCCUUUCUGCUUUUCAUUAACCACAUUCCUGCACAACUCAUUUCUGAAAACGUACCAUGUUUCUUUACAGAGCCAUCCAAAAAAUUUUUGUCCCUACAUAGCAAUUUUCUGUGGCACUGAGAAACCAUGUAUGACCACAAUAAAAAUCCAUUUUGUGAAA